UACGAAGGGAGCUAGCGUUGUUCGGAAUCACUGGGCGUAAAGCGCACGUAGGCGGAUGUGUCAGUCAGGGGUGAAAUCCCGGAGCUCAACUUCGGAACUGCCCUUGAUACAGCACGUCUUGAGUCCGGAAGAGGUGGGUGGAAUUCCUAGUGUAGAGGUGAAAUUCGUAGAUAUUAGGAAGAACACCGGUGGCGAAGGCGGCGUUCUGGACUGCAACUGACACUGAGAGACGAAAGCCAGGGGAGCAAACGGG
Molecule: ribosomal RNA, 253 nt
Filed under: uncultured bacterium
Lineage: Bacteria
Description: partial 16S ribosomal RNA
Rfam family: Bacterial small subunit ribosomal RNA
Source: RNAcentral